CAGCAGCCGCGGUAAUACGUAGGGUGCGAGCGUUAAUCGGAAUUACUGGGCGUAAAGCGUGCGCAGGCGGUUAUAUAAGACAGAUGUGAAAUCCCCGGGCUCAACCUGGGACCUGCAUUUGUGACUGUAUAGCUAGAGUACGGUAGAGGGGGAUGGAAUUCCGCGUGUAGCAGUGAAAUGCGUAGAUAUGCGGAGGAACACCGAUGGCGAAGGCAAUCCCCUGGACCUGUACUGACGCUCAUGCACGAAAGCGUGGGGAGCAAACAGGAUUAGAGACCCGCGUAGUCCCUGUCUCUUAUAA
Molecule: ribosomal RNA, 301 nt
Filed under: uncultured bacterium
Lineage: Bacteria
Description: partial 16S ribosomal RNA
Rfam family: Bacterial small subunit ribosomal RNA
Source: RNAcentral